This is a long non-coding RNA of Bos indicus x Bos taurus (hybrid cattle), 1155 nucleotides long. The record is from Ensembl. Lineage: Eukaryota; Metazoa; Chordata; Mammalia; Artiodactyla; Bovidae.
CAGUGUCUCACUCACUAUAAGGAGCCACCACCACCAUGUUCAUUUCAGGACAAUGAUUGUACUUGAGCUUUUGGCCUUUGGACAGACUUGGGUUUCAAUCUUCUCACCCUUGGGUUUUCUCCUCUGUGUGAUCUGUGUGCAGUGGAGCAGAUGUGGCCUCCAAGGGCCUGCAUUGGAGCCUCAAGCUGCUUGCUGGUGUGGGACCUACACGUCUGGAUACUCACAGACUCAGUUCCUUCUGUGUGAGACAGGGGAGAGCCAAGGCAAAGGCAUGAGGUGGAUGGGGCUGAACCGUCACCAUUAUGACUGGAGCACUUUUGAGUGACCGCCCACAUGGGCUUGUUGACUCCCCAAACCCAGACUGGACUUCGGAGGAACCAACCUGCGAGCACACUGGGGUCUGCAAACAGCACAUUCUGUUAGGGUGAAGAGGACGCAGAAGAGAGACCAACUAAUCUUUGCUAGUCUUUGACACACCAGCACCACCCACUUAAGGAACAGACAGAAGGCUCUCGUUUGCCCACCAACUAACUCAUGGUCUCCCCAGGGAAUAAUGAGAGGUGGAACAAGAGGCCAGGUGUGGUCAGGGGAACCCCUCUCACCACAGUGAACACACAGAGUGGGGAAAACAUGUCUCCUCUGAAUGCUCCCCCGUUUUUGUCAUAGUCAACCUGAGGCAGGAGGCAGGUGGGCCCCCCAGAGUAAAACAGUUGGAAAUUUAUUCUCUAUUGAUCAAAACUCCAAGACAAGAAUAGCAGGACAAUUAAGGGAUGAGGCUGGACCCUGCACAGACCCACAAAGUCAAGAGACCUCCUCAACCACACAGGUGCAGAAAAGGCACCUUGGAGGCCAAAGGGGAGUCAUGUCAAGGGAUGUUCUACUCAGACGCCUUUUCGGUAGGAUCCGUCUUGGCUAAGAGAUGCGUGUGCACACACGGGAGGAUCCGGAGAUAUAUUAAAUAUGGCCUGUGAACCAGGCAAAUCAGAAUGAUUGGCCAAAGGAGACUCGGAAGAAACAUCCCAUAAAAGUAAUUCAAACUGCCAUGAGGGCUCAACCUAGCAACUCAGGGACUCUCCUUCUGAGCCUGCCCGUGUGUCUCUCCAGAUGUACUGUAUUGUACUCUUUUUCCUCCUAAUAAAUACUUAAAUUGCUUCA